UCCCCAAUAACGAGGUUCUAGUGCUUCAAUUUUGCAGCUGCCGGAUAGCAAACUUUGGGGUGCUCCUCAUCAUUACGGUUUACGGCCAUGUGUCAAACCUACCGCUAAAUAUAAAGCCACUCAAGGAUGGGAUCGCUAUAUGACUGUGAGGAGUAAUGGGGGACUGAAUCAGAUGCGUACUGGUGUAAGUAAUGACUUCUUUCAUCUAUUAGUCUACUACAAUCCGUGUUUAUUUCUAUUCAUUUAAGAAAGUGCAUGCUCAUAUGCUUCAGCUACUGUGUUAUUAGUGUAACAAAAUAAUGUGGUUAUUAAGGUAGCUCUGCUUGACUAAACAUAGCAUUCUUUUACACUUCCUAUGCAUUUUGCCUUUUCCUUUGUCAUUCUCAUGAGAUUUUGACAUAUCCAUGUUAUUGGUGAAAUAUUAUCUUCUUUUUAUUUUAUUUUUUAUUUAUUUAUUUAUUUUGUUGUAACAAUAAUAAUGAUAAUAAUAAUACUUCAAAAAUUGUUUGGUACUAUUGGCAUGAUUUAACGGUAAUUGAUACAAAUAUGAUAUUCAAAACAAUGCAUAAAAAUUUGCUAAGGGUUGUGAGGGAAUCAAUUGAAAGAAGUUGUGGCUAGAGGGGCAAUUGAGAUCUGCGAUCAUCUUCUCCGUCAAGGUAGCAAUAGGAGAAAGUUACUGCAGUUUGUGAUCUAAUUAUCGAGACUGAGGCCCUUCAUCUUGGGCUUCGAUCUCCUUCAGCUUUUAUUCUUUCUUUUCCACUUUUCUUUUUUCAAUUUGGCUCUCUUUGUUCAAGUCGAGGUGCUCUGUUGUUUCAUUUUGAGGUGAGAUGGCUAAAUAGUUUUUCCAGAAAGAUAAGUGUGGUGGCUGCCAGAGGAGGUGGCAUUUAGAGGAAUAAUUGUGGCUCAGGCAAGAGGCGUGGUGGUUGGUAGAGUGAGGUUCCUUGCUAUGCGAAAUUGCUAAUCUUAAGUUCGUUUGAAGGAAUGUGAUGUGGUGGUGGUUAGUAGUAUGGGUGAGUCCAGUGGGCUGGUGAGAGAGUUGGAAGUGGUGGCAGUGAAGAAUGGGAAGAUGGAGGGGGUUGGGAAAGUUAUUGAUAAUGUAGGAAAUUCUUAAGGGCUGUUGGGUUUGAGAGUAUUUGGGUGUGGUAAGGUGGGUAGAUUCCAUAGUGAGGUAGCAUUAGGAGAUUUUGUGAUGGUCAGUAUCUGAAAGAAGGGUUCAGGGGAGGGAGGGAGCAUGAGAUGCACACAUGGAAGGCAAGUGGGGGUGAUGUGAACAUGAAUGGUGGUUCUUGUGCAGUGGAUGGUGGCUCAGGUCAUGUGUGGUGGUGGUCUCUAGAAUUUGGGUUUCUAAUUUUGAAGGGAAGUAGGGGACAAACUUAGGAUUUGUGAGCCCAGGUAAGAUUGGUUCAGGAUCUUUUGAGUUGUUCUGUCUGAUCGGUCUCUCAAGAUCUUUGGUCUCUACCCUACCCAAACCCGAUUGAAAAAAUGGGAUCACUUCUUAUGGACUCAUUGAGAACUUAGUUGAAGAAGUGACUCAUUCUUGGGCAAGUACGCGGUGGUCAUUUGGUGAUUUAUAAAGGUGGAGUCAGCGUUGGGCUUAAGAUCUAUAAUUUUAGGGUCAUGCCCGUGGGUUAGGAAAGGUGUUGGUAACUUUGGGUUUGGAGGAUGGAUGAGGAUCCGCAGAAGCCUUGUUAUAAUUAGUUGCGUCAGACUGUGGAAUAGGGGCUAGCUUGUGUCGUGGUUUGAGAAAUGUUAGCUAUGGGCCUGUUUUUGCAUCUAUUGGGUUAUUUAAUUUGAAUUCUAGUUCAGCGGAGAAGUCCAAACAUGUGGUUGGGCCAUAUGUUCCAAGGUCUGUUUGAGGUAGGCCUGUGGUGGUUGGGGCAUUUGUUCAAACAAAGACCUAUUGGAGGUGGGCUUGGGGAGAUUUGUUCAAUGAAUAGAAACAUCAUGGUGAUUCUACUACCAGGUAUGUUUGAUUUUCUGGUUUUUGGUUCUGGGGAGGAGAAGAUAGGCGAUGAAGAGGCUCUGAAAUUUUAGGCAUAAUUUUCAGAUAAGCCUAAUUUUAGGCAUCCUAGGAAACCCGAAUUGAAGUCACCAAACUUUAUUAAAAAGUUAUCUAAAAAAAAUAAAAACAAAUAAA
Molecule: non-coding RNA, 2137 nt
Organism: Camellia sinensis
Lineage: Eukaryota; Viridiplantae; Streptophyta; Magnoliopsida; Ericales; Theaceae
Source: RefSeq, a predicted model, not a curated record